AUCGCACCAAACCACCGAACAACCUUGCCUUCGAGAGAAACCAAGAGUGCGGGAGGAGGCGCAUCCACAGAAUCCGGUGCUCGAUGGCGUAGCGCUCCAGCGAAGAGAACUGAGGGAGUAUUGGUCUAGGCUGCGCGUCCGCAAAACAGAACCUAGUAUCGAGGGUGGCUAGAGCAUGGGGAAUCGCUCGCGGGACUUGCUCUCGCCUUUGUGGAAUCCAGCCGCCACGGCCAGGCCCACUCGCUGCACAAUCCCUGACGAGCAAGCAACUGCGGACCCAGUACUCAGCAGAUGGAUAAUACUGAGCAGGAGCUCGUUGAAGGUGAAGAGCAGGUAGCCCAGGAGGAGGUCUACAACGAGUACGAGCUAAUCUAGGUGGCGUCUCCUAGUCAGCGUUAUGGCGCCAAGGAAUAAUUAUUAGUUCGCUUUAUUGUUAUCAUUUAUUCAUGUAAGACAUUUUCGCAAUGUAAUAAUUUUUGUGACAUUUAUCUCUAUACAUUUGGUCAUUA
Molecule: long non-coding RNA, 509 nt
Organism: Zea mays
Lineage: Eukaryota; Viridiplantae; Streptophyta; Magnoliopsida; Poales; Poaceae
Exons: 3
Source: RefSeq, marked validated